AAGGUAGGGGAAGAGCAACCUGUAGUUGCAAAUGGGCAAAGUUUUCUCUCAUGAAUUCCAACUUUCUCAUAUGGUAGGAGCAGGCAGAGGAAGAUAAAUCAAAAGACAGGACAAAGUACUAUUUAAUUACUGUUUUAAACUGUUUUUUGGGAAGUCUGACUAGGACUGUUGAUCUUGUCAUAGUCUUACUCAUGAUUCUGGUAUACUGACUGUUGUUACUGCCUUCGUGCUUUGCAGGCAUAGAGACCUACAAUCAAAGCACUAUAUAGAAGUAAAUACUAGUUGUAUAUGGACAGCUUUGCCAAAGUGGUUGAGGAACAGAGUUACCUCCUUCCUUUUCAGAAUCCAGAUAUAUCAAAUAACAUAGAUUUAGAAGGUUAUAGAUAUAUUUAUAUUUAAUACUGCUUAUUUUGGGUUCAUCRAGUUAUAUUCUGUAGCUAUUCUUACGAUAUGUGAAUUCUCUAUAUCUCUGGGUGAUAAUAUGAUGAAAAGUUUGUCCCACCCCUACAUUUAAGCAGUAAAUCCAUUGGAUGGAUGUGUCAAUGUGCUCUAGGAGGCAAAAACUUCUUCAGAUGUGUUUAAGGGGCAUCUACUAUGGUUUUGCCAUACACCUAAAUAUAUUAUUAAUAAUUAAAUAUAUUUUAAUAUAGGAAGUACAGUYGGAGGGCCAGAUCCAGGCUGCUUAUAUUGUUUGUAUUGCAGGUGUAAGCUCUGCUUUAACUGAGAGAAGAAAAACAAAUGACUGGAGUCGUAGGUUUGAACGCAAUGUGUUGCCAGCAGGUGGGCUGAGUAGUGGUAGGAUGCAUACCAUAUUAAUGGGGACCUUCCCAUUCUCCCGCCAURGACUUCCUGUUUUGGAGCCUGCAUCAUUUCUGAAGAAAAUGUGGAUCUAAGGCACAUAUACUUGACUAAAGUGUCUAGGAGAACAUGAAGAACUUCCUGCAGUCUGGACUUUUGCUUAAGGGAGGUUCAGGAUUUGGAAGGAUUCGGAAACAUUUGCCAUGGACGAGAAAACAGAAUGACAUAAUGAGCAUGAUUGAACUGAAAUGUGGACAACAAUGGGGGAACGCGUGGGCAAUAGAGCUGGAUAUGACUAAAAGUCAUUGCUGCAUGUGAGCAUGAACACAAUAUCACAGGAACAGAUAUGCUAAUUCAUUUUAUGUACAUAUGUCAUCUGCUGAGGAUGGAUGUGUGUGUUAGCCAUUGUGCUGCUGCUUCCAUGUUUUCUUGCACGUACACACUCCCUACCCAGUUAACAUGAUGGUGAUCAGCAUAGAAACAGUGCCAGAAAGUUAGUCUCAGAUAAAGCAGAUAUAUUAGUUAGGCUGCACUUCCAGACUGCGCUGGGAACAUGUUUGAUAUUCAUAUGUGUUACUAGCAUCCAUGUCUACUCUGUGGACUUAGUGUGAUGCAAUCUCUAUUACCUCCCUCAGAUACCAAGAUUUUGGUAACUGUUUUGUCGAUAGAAAAAUCCUGUAGGAUUCUUGAUAAUAAGAUGCAUCGUGUAUGGUACAGCAGAGUGGAGGAGGGUGAUUCAGUCACUCCUGUCAUUUAGUUUGCCUGCUGGCUCCCCAGUGACCAUAAAUUGUGCUUUCUAGCUCUUAGUUCAUAGUUGCCCAUUCUGAAAUUGAUGACUCUGCUCUAAGAUUUUAAUUUCACUAUUGCAAUGUGGUAUUCUAACCUGCAAUUCUUGAUAAACUGGAUUGUUGUUUUGCUUAACUCUUGCCAGCAUCUAAUAAGCUGGUGGCAUAGGGUUUUUUUUAGUGCAGCUUGGAACUAUUUGGCCCCAUUAAAUUGGGGGCUAGAGCUACAGUGGGWAGGGGUGUCCACUGGAUACUAACCUGGUUCUUCAGUGCUUUGCAGCUGGUUGCUUGCUGCUCUUAUUGAGGUGCCGGAGGAAGCAGAGUCCUCUUCUGUAUGCUAAUGACAGCACUGUUCUGCAGCCAAAAUUGCUGUUGUUUCUGUGUUUAUAUACUAUUUACAUACAGAUAUUCAGAUGUAUAGUUACUAUGCUCUGUUGUUGUUCAGGGGAUGAAUUUCAAACUGAAUCACAGACUUCACUGUCAGGUAAUAAACUAAGUUAGUUGAAUUACUGUCGAACA
RNAcentral lists this long non-coding RNA (2102 nucleotides) under Dromaius novaehollandiae (emu). RNAcentral's name for it is "lncRNA (ENSDNVG00000009486.1)". Lineage: Eukaryota; Metazoa; Chordata; Aves; Casuariiformes; Dromaiidae. The record is from RNAcentral.